RNAcentral lists this ribosomal RNA (464 nucleotides) under Kermes greeni. RNAcentral describes it as "eukaryotic LSU rRNA". Lineage: Eukaryota; Metazoa; Arthropoda; Insecta; Hemiptera; Kermesidae. The record is from RNAcentral.
GAGCCCGUAAUCCGGGCGGUUAGAAUUCAGAAUCGACGGCGGCGUUUCGCGCGUCGUCGUCGUUUUGCAAUUUCUGCCGCCGCCUUAAAAAAACACGGACGUCGCGACCCGUUCGACGUUGGUCUUGAGAACCGCGCGUUCACGUUCACCGUGUGUGUCCGGGCACGUUUGCGCGUGUUUGUGGCGCACACGGUGAGGGCGCGGCCUUCUGGCCAGCUAUUCGUCGGACGGUAUGGUAAAGAGCGCGGUAAUCGGCGUCCGCUUUGCGCGGUCGUCGACACCGGUCAGCGACGAAUCUUCGGGCCUCUUUCCGACCCGUCUUGAAACACGGACCAAGGAGUCUAACGUGUGCGCGAGUCGCGGGGUAUCGAGUCGUCGUCGUGAUCGUUUCGGCGGUGGCGGCGGCGGCUCGUUACGAUACAAACCCGUUGGUACUUUGUGCAAGGCGUAAUGAAAGUGAAUGU